This 497-nucleotide ribosomal RNA is filed under the name uncultured bacterium. RNAcentral describes it as "partial 16S ribosomal RNA". It matches the Rfam family "Bacterial small subunit ribosomal RNA", at positions 28 to 507 of the family's 1533-position model. The record is from RNAcentral.
GAUGAACGCUGGCGGCGUGCCUAAUACAUGCAAGUCGAGCGAACAGACGAGGAGCUUGCUCCUCUGACGUUAGCGGCGGACGGGUGAGUAACACGUGGAUAACCUACCUAUAAGACUGGGAUAACUUCGGGAAACCGGAGCUAAUACCGGAUAAUAUAUUGAACCGCAUGGUUCAAUAGUGAAAGACGGUUUUGCUGUCACUUAUAGAUGGAUCCGCGCCGCAUUAGCUAGUUGGUAAGGUAACGGCUUACCAAGGCAACGAUGCGUAGCCGACCUGAGAGGGUGACCGGCCACACUGGAACUGAGACACGUUCCAGACUCCUACGGGAGGCAGCAGUAGGGAAUCUUCCGCAAAGGGCGAAAGCUUGACGGAGCAACGCCGCGUGAGUGAUGAAGGUCUUCGGAUCGUAAAACUCUGUUAUUAGGGAAGAACAAAUGUGUAAGUAACUAUGCACGUCUUGACGGUACCUAAUCAGAAAGCCACGGCUAACUACGUG